CUGAUAUCUGCAUAACCGUCUUCAAGAUCACGAAUGGCCACACUCGACGAAGCCAUAAUCUCCAACCUGCCGUAGAACACAACACACAAAUCACACACACACAACUCACUUUCUCACCAUGUCAAAAGACAAGACCAAUUUUUACUUAAAUAUUUUGUUCCUUUAAACAAAUAAUAAAUGGGGUUUCAAUUGAAAAAGUGAAAUAUAAAUAUUUUAUUUAUUUAGUAUGAUAGACCCACAAUUAUAUUUAUUUUCUUUUUUAAUGAAUAUACAAUAUAAAAUAAGUACAUGACUACAGUACACUUUUCUUAAGGAGUACUGUUUUAGUAGACUCUCUAUCUGUUUCGGCAUACAGAAGAGCUUUUUAAUCUAAUUUUCUUUUAUGAUCAUGUAUGUUAUAGUUAUUUAGGAUCACUUGUAAUUUUUCAAAAAGUUUCAAGUAGCUUACAAUGUCGAAAAUAAAAUUUACAUGCGCGACUAUUUUUUCUUAUACGCGUGGUAAGUAACUAUUUAAACCUUAUUUUUGACACAAUAAAUUAUUCAGAAUCUUCUAAAAAAUUUACAAAUGGUCCUAUAUAGCUACAACAUAUGUAAUUAUGAAAAAAAAUUGAACUAAAAUAUUUUUCUAGUUACCGAAGCAGAUAAAAAAUCUACCAGAACGGUCUUCUACAAAAAUUUCAUAUAAUAUUUACUACAAAAAUUAAUUAACAUUAAUAUUAACUCACAUUUUGUUAAGAAAAAUAGAAACCUUAUUUUUAGUAUUUAUUUUAAAAUACUAUAUAUAUUGUAAGAAAUAAAGCAAUACCCAGAUUGCCCCCUACUCCAACACCACAAAGUACAAAAAACCAAGGUCAAAAUAGACCUUCCCCCUCUUGUGCGGAUCAAGAGUAUAUUCCCUCAAAAUCCUAGCCUUUUAAUGGCAGUAUAAAGCCUUUCUUUUCAGCCACAAACCCUAGCAGCCCUUGUCUUUCUCUUCUCCUCUCUAACCUUAGCAGCCACUUCCUAGCAGCAGCCCUCUUCUCUUCAUCUGAACCUAGCAUCAGCCCUCUUCUCUUCUUCUCCUUCCUUCUUGGUGCAAAACUUUGCAGCAGAACAAUACUCAACCACUGCUGCAUUUUUCUUCCUCCUUCAGCCCUUCUAAUCUUCUUCUUCAAGCUCUAUGAGAGCUUUCUAACCCGAGCCUACAGCAGCUCCUUCGCACCUGCAACACACACAACAAACAACCCAAAACCAGAGAAAGACUAAAAGAAAAACCAGCAAAAAAAUAAAAAGAAGACAAUAAUUGAUUUCGGAGUUCCCCUCAAAAUCAAGGGUACAUCUCCGUCAAGCUUCCCUCAAAGACGCUUGAUUCUUCACUAUCCAUGUCAAAACCGAUUACAAGGAGUUGGAGAUUCCUAGCCACAAAGUUCAGUAGGUAAUCUCAAGUUUUCUCUCUUUUCUUCACUCUAUUUUUUUUGGUUUGUAUUAAAAUAGAACUCUCUAACUCUCUCUAUUUUUCUCUCUUAUUUCUGAGGUUGUUCAUCCAAGAAAUGGCAGCUGCUAUUUUCUCAUUUUGCUGAGCCGAAAAACACACUUCAAAAAUGGGCAGUGUCUUUGUUGCUGAGCGGAAGAGAGGGCAAAGAUAAUGUGGCGGACCCAGGAUUUAAGUUGAGCGGGGGCAGACUUUUUUUUUAAGUGAGGGACGGUUUACCAUUUUUUCUACAUGAUAUAACAUAUUAAAAAUUGAUACAAAUUUGUAUUUUUAUAGUAUUAAAUAUAGUUUAAGUAAAAAAAAAUGAAAAUAAAAAAGUUGACUUCAAUGAUUGAAAUACUAAAUACAAAGUUUAUUGAUAGAGAUUAAAAAAAAAAUACUAAAAAUUAAAUAGUAAAAAUUACCCAAAUUAUGGGAUUUUUUUUACCAUUUACUUUUUUUAUGGCAUUUUUAAAUAAACCUUUGUGUAUAUGGGAUUUAGGUUUUGUUUACCCUUUUAUGGGUUUUUUAAAAGCCAUAUAUUUGUUAUUCAAGGCCCAAUUCCCAUAUUUUUUUUUUUUUGAAACUAUAGCUAUUAUAGCUUCCUUUUGCAUGGAGUAGCUUACUACUCAUUGCAUACUACUACCGCCAUUUCAGUUUCUACAUCAUACUCAUUUGUUUUUCAAGCUUUUUUCUCUCUCAUUCUCAUUUCUCCAUUCAGUUUGAGCAGCAUUUUAGGGUUUGCAUUUUCUUCAUCUUCUUCUUUUUCUUCUUCUCCAGUGGGUGUCGAAGCCAUUGUCGUUGGUGUGCUCUGUUUUUAGCUUCGAUUUUCAGUUGUCGUGAGUGAAGUGUGCUCUGUUUUUAGUCAUUUUCGAGAUCAUCUUCAAAGUUAAGUGAGGUAUGUGAUAAAUUCUUUAAUAAAUUUUGUUGUAAUAUGUUUAGUUUUAGUGAUUAAGUUCGGUAUUGAGAUGUUUGUGGAUUUUAUUUUUUUUUUUCUUGAUGAUUUUGCAUGAUCGGUUGGAUUUUUUCGGGUUUAUUGUUGUUUUUGGGAUGAUCGGUUGGGUUUUUAGGGUGUGUUUGGUGUUUUGGUGUUUUUUAUCAUUGUUCUAUUUAGUUAAUUUUUGUUUUAAGUUUGAGUUUGUGUUGAUUUUGUUGAUUUCUCUGUUAAUUUUUCUUAAAUCUUCAUGAAUUUCUAAGGUUUUUUUAUGUUUGUUUUUGUGUUGAAUCUGUUUUAGAGAUAGAGUAUUUGUUGUUAUUUUUUGUGUUCGUUUUGGAUUUUUUCAUUUUCAUGCAUUUUAGUAUUGGAGGUUGCUUAUAAAAUAUAACCGGUUAUUUUUUGUGCAACAUAUUUGAAUUUUUAGGUUAAUAGUGUUAUUUGUUUUUAAUUUUUAUGUUUUUUUUUUUUUGUAUUUUGAAUUUUUGUUUUCUUAUUUUUUGUUCUGUUUUUUUAAAUUGAUUUUUUAAUAGUUUUUUUCAUUGGUUAGAGUAUUUUAGUGGGUGUGGUAACUGUUUUACCACUUUUUUAGCCACGAUGUGGCAGUUUUGUUUUUUUUUUUUUUUUUUUUGUGUGUGUUUUAUGUGGGUUGGCAGUUACAAUUUAUUUGUUAUAUAUAUUUGGUGUUGGUUUUGUAAUGUGCACUUAUUAACUUAUUUUGUUUUCUCUGUAUUCUUUGUUUGGUUUUAGGAUUUAUUCAAUGGAUAAGAGUCAUUAUUAAGAAAAGAAAAAGGGGUGAUGUAACUAAGGUAUGUUUUUAAAUUUUCAUGUGUUUAUUUUGUUUGUUCUUGUCUGUAUUUUUUAUUGUGUUUUAAUGUUUUUAUGUUAUUUAUUAUAUGUUACUCAAUGUUUUCAAGAUAUUAUUCCAUAUGUUGAUCAUGGAGUUCAACAAAAAGAUUCUCAUCAAUCGGAAGCUAUUUCCGAACAUGUGAAGGACCAGGUAUAUAACUGAUUUCUUUUGUUUGUUCUGUUUUUUAUUCUUUUUGUUUUUAUUCUUGUUGUUUUUAUAACUGGUUUAUAACCGGUUUUAAUAUUGUAUUUUUCAUUUUGUUAACAGGUUGAGCCUGGUAAUGUGGCGUUUGUUGGCGCUGCAUCUGGAACUGGCUCUGAAGUUCCGGUUGAUGCCCCAAAGAAACACGAGGUUAAGAAAUCUCGAGCCAAGAAGAAGAAGGUGAGUUUCUCAAGUGGUUAUGUUAUUGUUGGUGUAUUUUAACUGGUUUUUUUUAGUAUAGAAUUGUGUUUGUAAUUGUUUAAUUUUAUGUAAUUUAGUUUUUAUACUUUUUAUAACUGGUUUUUUUUCUAUGAAAAAUGUGUUUAUAAAUGUUUAAUUGAUGUUAUUUAGUUCUUAUAUUAUUUAUAACGGGGUUUUUUUUUUUUUGUUUAAGAAAUGGGUUUUCAAAUGUUGAUUUUAUGUAAUUGAGUUUUUAUACCCUUUUUUAACCGGUUUCUUUUGUUUGUUUUUCAACAUUUGUUGUGUUUCAUUUGUUGUUUUAUUAUUAUAACCGGUUUCUAAAUUUCUUUAUGAGUUUUUUAAAAUGUUGUUUUUUUAUGUUUUUUUAACCGGUUUCUGUUUUGUGUUUCAAGGUUAACGUUGAUCCUUCUGACCAAGAUUUUGUCGUACAUGUUGAAUCUGGAACUAGUUCUAAAGUUCCAGUUGAAAAAGAGGCUCAGCCCUCUAUCAGGGAAACACGUGGCCGGAAAAAAAAAUGUCUUUAUAUGUUUACAUUAUUGUUUUUUGUUAAUGUUUGUGAAUGUUGUUUUUCUUUUCUUUUUUUAACUUUUUUUUUCCUGUUUUUUUUCAGGCUGCAGCGGGUGAUUCUGAUCUUCCCAAUCCUCCGGUACGUCGUACAAGACGUUAUGGUGUUAAAUCUGUUGCAUCGAAAGGCCCUAGUCCUUCGAUAGCUGAAGAGCCCGUGAUAAAAUCCACUAGUUUUUCAGAUGUGGUUAGUGCUUUAAGUUUUUCAUUUUACAUAUAUGUUCAGUUUUUAUUUUUAAUGUGAUUUAAUUUUUGUUUAUGGAACCAGUUAUUUUUAUUUAUGAUGUGCUUUGUUGUUGUUGUUACAGGCUAAAUCUUAUUUUAUAACUGGUUUUUUUUUCAGGAUGUUUACUUAAAGAUGAAACCGGAGCAUCGGUGUAGAACUUGAGAGAAUUGUCACUCAGUAGCUUCAUUGGUGUUGUCCCGGGCGAUAUCUGGUACGAUAUGUCUAUGUUGCUUCUGGUGCAGUUGAUCUCUGUUUUUAUCAGCUCCAUCAAGUUUGCUAGUGAUGAAUUGGUUGGAAUUAGAAUCCCCGUCAUUGUGUAGUCAUCAUAAUUUGUAUUUUUCCCUCCACUGACUCCCAUAUUUGAUGACACACAUGAUUUGUUCCAUACCUGCAAUUUUAGGGAAAAAGUAAUAUCAAAAUAUUAUUGUAAUGUUUUGUUUGGAACCGGUUAUUUUUUAAAAAACUAUAUGUGUUAUUGUUUUUGUUUUAGGUUUUUAACUGGUUUUUUUUUUUCUAAUUUUUGUUUACUGGGUUUUGGUUUUUAUUUGUCAUUUAUAUUUUUGAUAACUAUUUUGCAUUUUGAAAGGAAAUUCUUUUUAAAAUUUAAGUUUAAUUUUUUUUUUAACUGGUUUUUUUUUUCUUUUAAUUUUCUAAUUGUAUGUUUUGCUAUAUUUUUUAAUAUUUUUCAAGUUUUUUAUUGUUUUUUAACUGGUUUUUUUUUUGUUAUGUUUUGUUAUUUGUAAUUUUCUUUAUUUUUUAACCGGUUAUUUUUAAAUUGUAUUUAGAGAAUCAAUGAUAUAGGUGAGUUUUUUAACUGGUUUUUAAGUUUUAACUGGUUUUUUUUUAUGUUAUAUUUAUUGUUGUAUCUGUUUUAAUUUUGUUUUUUUGUAGCAUUGUUAAAUGUAAUGUAAUGUAACUGGUUUCAUUUAAUUUUUAUGUUUUAUUGUGUAAGUUAGUUUUUUAACUGGUUUUUUUUGUUUGUUUUCUGGUUUUAGGUGUUGUUGUUUUGUUUGUUUUGGUUAAAAUUAUUUUUUUUAACUGGUUUUCUUUCUAUUUUUUUUAUUGUAUGUGUUGUUAUAUAUUUUUAACUAGUUUUCACGUUUUUGAUUGUUUUUUUAACCAGUUUUUUUCUGUUAUGUUUUGUUAUUUGUGACUUUCUUUAACUCUUUUAUGCAAAAGUAAUAUUAUAUUGUUAUAUUUUUGUAUUUGGAACCGGUUAUUUUUUAAUUGUUUUUAAAGAAUCAAUGUUAUAGGUGAGUUUUUUAACCGGUUUUUAUGUUUUAACUGGUUUUUUUUUAUGUUAUAUAUUGUUGUAUCUGUUUUAAUUUUAUUUUCCUCUAGCAUUGUUAAUUCUAUUUUAAUGUAAUGUAAGUGGCUUCAUUUAAUUUUUAUGUUUUAUUGUGUAUGUUAGGUUUUUAACCGAUUUUUUUUGUUUGUUUUUUUGGUUUUAGGUGUUGUUGUUUUGUUUCUAUUGGUUAAACAUUAUUUUUUUUAACCGGUUUUUUUUUUUUUUGCUGUUAUGUUUUGUUAAAUGUGACUGUCAUUAUUUUUUUUACUGUUUUUAACUGGUUAUUUUGGUUAUGGUAUAUAUUUGUUUUGCGUGUUAUGUAUGCGUUUCAUAUGGUUGAUCUUGAUUUUGUACAUUGUUUUAACCGGUUAUUUAUUUUUUAUAUUUGUUCAUUAAAAUGUCGUUUAAUGUUUAUAUAUUAUUAAUCCGUAUAUACUUGUAAUGUCUUUGUAUAAUUUGUUUUAUUUUUUUUUUCAGUUUUUCGUUUUCAAUUUUAAUUACCAUUGAUUUUUCAGAUUAUGAAGGUUAAGAAUUCGAUCAGAAGCAAUUGAAGAAAUUACCUGAAGAGGAUCGGAGCUGUAGAAGACGAUCGGAGGUCGAUGAUCGUUGCUGAAGCUCUGUCUUCAGACGAUCGACUUUCUGUGCAUGUUGAUUGCGUUUGAGAUGAGUAGAAUGUGUUGAAGAACUGUCCGCAGCUGGAGAAGACGAUCGGAGGCGGCGAUCGUUGCUGGUUUUGGAGACACAAUCGUUGCUGGUUUUGCGUUUGAGUUCGGUUUUGCAGAUCGAAUUGCAGUGAUCAAUUGAGUUCGGUUUGCAGUCGUCUGAUCGUGACUGGUGCGAUUCCGAACGUGAUGAUCGGAGACAAAAUCGGAGAGAGUAGGGAGAGAGAGAGAGAGAGAUCGAAUCGUGGUUGGGUUUUGAGCAAUUCUGUUAUGUUUUUCAGUUUUGGAAAGUAUGGGAUUUUCCAUUUUGAGCAUAUUUAUAUGUUUUUUGGAUUCCCAUAUUUUUCCAUUUGAUUAUUUUUCUUUUUUUUUUUUUUUUUUUGCCAUAUCUUUUUCAUUUAUUUUUUUCUCCAUAAAAAAGUAAAUGGCAACAAAAACUUCCAUAUUUAUAUUUUUUUUCCCUUAAAAGAACUAUUACUUCAAAAUCAACUAAACAGAAAUGACCUUAGGAUUUGUAAUUUGUUUGCCAUACCAUUAAAAUUUAUCCAUCUUU
RNA transcript from Cannabis sativa, 6929 nucleotides. RefSeq lists it as uncharacterized. NCBI's taxonomy places the organism in Eukaryota, Viridiplantae, Streptophyta, Magnoliopsida, Rosales, Cannabaceae. The record is from RefSeq and is a predicted model, not a curated record. The transcript has 2 exons.